This 305-nucleotide ribosomal RNA is filed under the name uncultured bacterium. RNAcentral's name for it is "bacterial SSU rRNA". It matches the Rfam family "Bacterial small subunit ribosomal RNA", at positions 336 to 640 of the family's 1533-position model. The record is from RNAcentral.
CUCCUACGGGGGGCAGCAGUGGGGAAUAUUGCACAAUGGGGGAAACCCUGAUGCAGCGACGCCGCGUGAGUGAAGAAGUAUUUCGGUAUGUAAAGCUCUAUCAGCAGGGAAGAAAUACUGACCUUACGGUCAGCAGACGGUACCUGACUAAGAAGCCCCGGCUAACUACGUGCCAGCAGCCGCGGUAAUACGUAGGGGGCAAGCGUUAUCCGGAUUUACUGGGUGUAAAGGGAGCGUAGACGGCAGGGCAAGUCUGGAGUGAAAGCCCGGGGCCCAACCCCGGGACUGCUUUGGAAACUGCCAUG